This 509-nucleotide long non-coding RNA is filed under the name Prunus persica (peach). RNAcentral describes it as "long non-coding RNA (PPER_LNC004500)". The record is from RNAcentral. Lineage: Eukaryota; Viridiplantae; Streptophyta; Magnoliopsida; Rosales; Rosaceae.
AAAAAUACAAAUAAUAUAAGAAAUGAGGAAAAUGGUGAGGAAGUACUUGCUGUGAGGUGGUAGCUUUACAGUGCGGCUAGCUGGGUCUUAGCGGGAGCCAGCUGGCAAAUGUACGGCGGCGUAUACGCAACUACCGUCGCCGUUUCCUCUUUUCAGAACGCAGCUGUCUCCGAAUAUAGCGAACCCACACAAAACCAGACUUCUUUUUCAAUAGGAAAAAAACAUAAAUAUUUAAUUGGAGAGAGAGGCCAAAACCCUUCCUUACGCUUUUUUUUAUUUCGAUUUUGCCCUUUUUCUUUGUCGAUAUGGCAGCUGGGUCCUAGCACCUCAUGUAGUCUGUUGGCCCUGGUGAUGGGGUGGCAUUUUGGGCGGUUUCGUUCUAGUUUACCAAAAAUGCCCCUUCGUCAUGAAUUAAUUAGUUUGGCACGUUGAGGUUGUGAUUUUAUGGCAUAAUUUUUUGGAUUUAUAAUCCUAUAAUCUCAAGUCAAUUAUUUCCUUUUGUCUUUUUG